UCCCUCGUGGCGCAAUUGGCCAGCGCGUUCGACUGUUAAUCGAGAGGUUGGUGGUUCGAGCCCACCCGAGGGAG
RNAcentral lists this transfer RNA (74 nucleotides) under Blumeria graminis f. sp. tritici 96224. RNAcentral's name for it is "tRNA-Asn (GTT) (tRNA-Asn-GTT-3-1)". It matches the Rfam family "tRNA". Rfam says of the family: Transfer RNA (tRNA) molecules are approximately 80 nucleotides in length. Their secondary structure includes four short double-helical elements and three loops (D, anti-codon, and T loops). The record is from RNAcentral. Lineage: Eukaryota; Fungi; Ascomycota; Leotiomycetes; Helotiales; Erysiphaceae. RNAcentral also lists the same sequence under 2 other names.